RNAcentral lists this ribosomal RNA (265 nucleotides) under uncultured microorganism. RNAcentral's name for it is "partial 16S ribosomal RNA". It matches the Rfam family "Bacterial small subunit ribosomal RNA", at positions 9 to 263 of the family's 1533-position model. The record is from RNAcentral.
GAGUUUGAUCCUGGCUCAGGAUGAACGCUGGCGGCGUGCCUAAUACAUGCAAGUCGAGCGAACGGACGAGAAGCUUGCUUCUCUGAUGUUAGCGGCGGACGGGUGAGUAACACGUGGAUAACCUACCUAUAAGACUGGGAUAACUUCGGGAAACCGGAGCUAAUACCGGAUAAUAUUUUGAACCGCAUGGUUCAAAAGUGAAAGACGGUCUUGCUGUCACUUAUAGAUGGAUCCGCGCUGCAUUAGCUAGUUGGUAAGGUAACGG